UGGGGAAUAUUGGACAAUGGGGGAAACCCUGAUCCAGCAAUGCCGCGUGUGUGAAGAAGGCCUGAGGGUUGUAAAGCACUUUCAGUUGGGAGGAACGGUUUACGAUUAAUAGUCGUGAGCUUUGACGUUACCAACAGAAGAAGGACCGGCUAACUCCGUGCCAGCAGCCGCGGUAAUACGGAGGGUCCAAGCGUUAAUCGGAAUUACUGGGCGUAAAGCGCACGUAGGUGGAUAGGCAAGUUGGAUGUGAAAGCCCUGGGCUUAACCUGGGAACUGCAUUCAAAACUGCUCAUCUAGAGUACAGGAGAGGGAAGUGGAAUUUCCGGUGUAGCGGUGAAAUGCGUAGAUAUCGGAAGGAACACCAGUGGCGAAGGCGACUUCCUGGACUGAUACUGACACUCAGGUGCGAAAGCGUGGGGAGCAAACAGG
RNAcentral lists this ribosomal RNA (429 nucleotides) under uncultured bacterium. Its description in RNAcentral is "bacterial SSU rRNA". It matches the Rfam family "Bacterial small subunit ribosomal RNA", at positions 355 to 776 of the family's 1533-position model. The record is from RNAcentral.